This 77-nucleotide transfer RNA is filed under the name Staphylococcus aureus subsp. aureus Mu3. Its description in RNAcentral is "tRNA-Pro". It matches the Rfam family "tRNA". From Rfam's summary of the family: Transfer RNA (tRNA) molecules are approximately 80 nucleotides in length. Their secondary structure includes four short double-helical elements and three loops (D, anti-codon, and T loops). Lineage: Bacteria; Bacillati; Bacillota; Bacilli; Caryophanales; Staphylococcaceae. RNAcentral also lists the same sequence under 2 other names. The record is from RNAcentral.
CGGGAAGUAGCUCAGCUUGGUAGAGCACUUGGUUUGGGACCAAGGGGUCGCAGGUUCGAAUCCUGUCUUCCCGAUAU